UUCUUCUGACUCCAAGCCCAUCAUCUCAGGAUUGUACCCAAGUGGCUCUUGCACCAGUAUCAGCGCCAAUGGCAGGGUCAGCAGAAAAUAGCAGAGGGGCCUGAAAACAGAUGGGAACAUCUGGAAAAGAUUCAUAAUCCACUUAGGAAAAAGGAGGGGGGAUGCACGGAGUUAGCACAUAUUAAGUGCCUGCUGUAGUCAAGCCCUGUUGGACACCAGGGACAUCUGGACCUUGACAACGGAGCGAAGGGGUGGUCCUGCCUGCACCAGGCUUCAGUGGCUUCUCAGGCUUCUCUGCAGCAUGGGUGUUCCUGCCUUGGCCAGAGCCGAAAUCCCAGAGCAGUGAAAGAGGA
This 353-nucleotide unclassified non-coding RNA is filed under the name Homo sapiens (human). Its description in RNAcentral is "partial NAMA". Lineage: Eukaryota; Metazoa; Chordata; Mammalia; Primates; Hominidae. The record is from RNAcentral.